AGCUAUGCUUUGCUAAUCUAAAUAGGUCUCUGAAGACCUUGGGACAUUAGCUCUCAUUGUGGCAAGGCUCCUUUUUGCCGGCAGUGAUGAAAACCAUGCAGCAGCUCCACGAAGGAGAUUAUCUUGCCUGCCAUCUUUAGUACCUUUGUUCCACUAGCAUCCUGCUCUAGCAACAAGGGAUUUUCGAUUCAUGUUGGCAGCUGGAUGGAUGUCAGCUCUUGGUUAACUAAGCCAACUCUUCUGCAAACCAAUUCAUGGAAAGGCAGAUAAAUGUAUUACGAUGGUGAGGAUUAAUGGCUUCUCGUCAUUGAAGUUUAGAAAAUUAACCAUUUCUAUCUAGAAAUGAAUGAACUGGAAUAUUUUGGUGAGAGCCUGGAAAUAAGCUUUGAUCAAGUAGAAGGAAAAGUUGUAUUGACUAAAGAAGACAUAAAAGGAAGUGAACAUGGAUAAACAUCACACUGGGUAUAGUCUAUAAAACUAAGCU
This is a long non-coding RNA of Zalophus californianus (California sea lion), 484 nucleotides long. RefSeq lists it as uncharacterized. The transcript has 4 exons. The record is from RefSeq and is a predicted model, not a curated record. Lineage: Eukaryota; Metazoa; Chordata; Mammalia; Carnivora; Otariidae.